Molecule: long non-coding RNA, 11657 nt
Filed under: Citrus sinensis (sweet orange)
Lineage: Eukaryota; Viridiplantae; Streptophyta; Magnoliopsida; Sapindales; Rutaceae
Description: long non-coding RNA (CSIN_LNC004807)
Source: RNAcentral
AUUGAUUCCAUCUUUUCUCAGGAAGGUCCUGAAGGAAGUGAAUUUCUGGAUGGAAUAGCACGUCAAACACCCAUCGGUCGAGCUGGAGAGCCUGAUGAGGUUUCUUCAUUGGUGGCAUUCCUUUGCCUUCCAGCUGCUUCAUAUAUCACAGGGCAGAUUAUUUGUGUCGAUGGAGGGGUGACUGUGACUGUGAAUGUGAAUGGAUUGCGCUCAACUGGAAAUUAGACAAAUCCUCUUUGUUCUAGCCGGUAUUUCCAGUCAGUCAAGGUUUCUUUUUUCUUUUCUUUUCUUUUCUUUUUUUUAGAGUGCCAGAAGCUGUACUGAAAUCUUUCUUGUAUAAUAAAGUUGUGUCUUUUAAUCAUGAUAGUUUUAAUUAUGAAGCCAAUGCAGCGUACAAUUUCAUCUUCCAAAAACCCAAUUAGUCAAGUCACCAAAGAAAUAUUAUUUUGUAUUAAAUGGCUAUUCAAAGUUUGAAAAGGGUAACAGGUUGAAUUUACAGUGACUUUACUUGCAAUCCAAGUUUCCUUAUAGUUUAAGUCUGUGUGGCAAAGUAAAAUGUUUCCGAAUAAAUACCACUAACUGUUACUUAUAUGAUAAGACGAAAAUAGCAGCAGCCAGCAGUUCAACAAAAUUGGAAAAACAUGUGAAGAUGCAAAAAGCAAAGGUGGUCUCUACAGGGUAGCCCUUGUUACCGAUGGAACCAGAGGCAUCGGGGUAAUAAGAUGAUUAAUGUCUGAAAAGAAGAGGAUAAAAUCUGAGUUGUAUUUAUAAUAGGCUUGAUCUGGGAUACUUGCGUGCUGUAGAUUUUUUAUUAUAACAUACAUAUUAGUGCUACAAAAUAAUGUCCAAGAUACUCCUAAUUAAGCAUACCAAAAAGUAACCAUCAAUUUGUGCACUUACUACAUGUAUUUUCAAGGGAAAAUAACACUUAAUAUUUGGUCUAGCAAAAUUUUUUACCGCUUGGGUUAUUUAUAAAUUUUAAUAUCUUAUUUUGUCAAUUUUGUUAAAAGGUUAAUGAAAACAAGAAUAUUUUGUUAUUUGGUAAACAAUGGCAAAACAAGUAAGCCUUUAUUAAAUUAAAAGAAAGAGUACAACGAAUCAGAUUGGACAAAAUUAACCUUAUUUCUUAAGCAUAAGCUAAGGUCCAGUAAAAAGCAAUCGUCAAAAGCAAAACUAAGAAAAGGAUCAUGCAGAAACAAGUCAAAACCAAUAUAUCUUUAUUUUAGGGGCGGCAAAACAAAUAAACAAAUGGAAUUCAAAUCAAACCAUAAAUAAAUUGGCUCAAAAGUCUGUUGAUUUUGAUUUGAUUUAUUUAUUAAAUGAAUAUUUGGUUCAAUUCGUUUAAUUCCUUUAGUAGAAUUAAGAAACGAAUCGAACAUAAAUUUAUUUACUACUCAUGUAUUUUAUAACGAAUCGAGUUGACAAUGAAAUCGUUUAUAAAAAUAUAAUUACUGAACAAAAAUUAAGUAGAAUAUAAUGUAAAAAGAUCAUGAAUUUAACAUCUUACAAAAUACAAAUUUUAUAAUUUACAAUUACUAUAUUAGCCUUCAAACUUCAAAAUUUUUUCGUACAUAUUUAAGGAUAAAUAAGUUUAAUUGAACGAAUAAUAAAUGAAUGGAUCGUAUUUGAUUUGUUUAUAACCUAUUUAUUAAAUGAAUUCUAAACAAAUAAGUGAAUCAAUCUCCUCAAACUUGGAUUUGAUUCGUUUAAUUAACAAAUCGAAUCAAAUUCAUUUGUUUAUUAAACGAAUCAAUUUUUUCAAAUUCAAACCCAAUUAAUUCGUAUCGAAUAGAAUCAAAUAGGUGAAUCUUGACUCAGAUUGCCACCCCUUCAGCACAAAUGAAUUAAAAUUACUCUCGUAAAUCAACCGUCAACAUAAUGAAAAAAGAAUAAUUUUUACGAGUAAAUAUGACUUUUUGACAUAUGCACUGAUUUAAAAUGAUUAUCCACACAUUACUUUUUGCAACAAACAAUAUAUAGAAUUAUAUUCUAGGAAAUAAGCCAACCCCACCUUUAAAAGCUUCCAAACAAUCGAUAAGUACUCAUGUUCAUGCAGCGAGCUUGCAAAAAUUUGCUAUUUAUAAUUAUAUAUGUGUUAGAACAUUGUAUUGAAUAUUUAGGGUGUGUUUGUGAUUGAGAUUAAAUAAUUGUAACUUUUAAGUUACAACAUUAAAGUGUUUGGUAAACACUAAUUGCUGUAACUUAUAAAUUAUGUUAAUAUAAUUUUUUACUUGUAUAAUAAAAAUUAUAUUAUAUCUUUAAUAAUUUUAUCAAAAUUAUUAUUUAAAAUUUAUAUUUAUUAUAUAUUAUUAAUUUUUGUUUCAUAGUUACAGUUUUUUUUUCCACAUCAGUUGUAACUUAAAAGUUACAGCACCUCACUUCCAAAUAAGACCUUAAUUACCUAUAGUGUUUGAACCAUACUAAUAUUCUCAAUGUAAUAAAUAUAUUUUGUUGUAGUUUGAAGAACUUCAACUAAUGUAGUCAGUGUAUACCACUCAACCAACGAGUGAUUUGCCCGGCUCUUUACUCUUUAGUAGUAUUCUUAACUCUGUUUCUUGAUUAUCUUUUGCUUGAUGAGGCUGGUUUUUAUGCUUUUCUUGUUUUCUUAGUACAGACAUAACCUGAUCACGUAGUUGCCGCUGACUCUUCAGCUGAAAAUAUAGAUAGGCAGCAUAAGCCACAAGCAUGAUAUAGCUACUAAAUCUUGAGAGGGCCAAUUCAGACUUCCCAAAAUGCAGCUCGGUGUGUGUAGCAUGGAGAACAGCAGGGAACAAUAAACCCAUUACUGCCAUCAGCAAUCCAGAGUUCACUGAAGCAACUGCCUAUCAAUAAAAUUAGAGCAGUUUUAACCUCUCUGUUGACAAACUUAUAAAUGGACAUAAGAUAAACAAACUUAGUAAUGGACAUAAAGAGUUAAAGAACAACAAAGAAUUUUUCCCUUGGUUUAAGAUAUCAAAUGUGAUCAAAAUGCUAACAGACCUUACUAAACACUUGCUCCCUCUAUGCAUUCACAAGUCCCCCAUAGAAGAAAGCAGAGCCUAGCACCAGCAGCAUGUUUGAUAAAAUAGAACCGAGUAAUGAUUGUUGAACUACACGCAUCAUGUGCCCUUUUUAUGCUAAAUUUGAUAUUAUCAAUUCUGUUAAAUUUCUGAAAGUAGUAUUUAGUAGACCUCCAACUGCAAAUGGCAUUAAGAGGAUAUUUUAUCAUUGAGUAAUCCCGGUAAACGAAUUGAUGCUCAAACAUAUUUUUCACCUAAUUUUUUUUUUUUUUUUGAGAGAAACAAACAUAAAAGCUUGUCGUGAAUUUGGAAGCUUGAAGAACAGAGGAGCUUGGUGGGUGGAAGAAAUAAAAAACUUAUGGAAAUGAUGUCAAACUGAAACUUCAUUAUCGACAAUAAAAGAGCCUGUAGGUCCUGUAAAGAAAGCCAGCUGCCUACAUUAAAUUAAGCACAAGCUGCAAAUUAGGUACUAAUGAAAUCAUUUAUCCUUUCAAUAUUGAUACAAUCGAAUGGAAGCAUAACCAAAUUUUGGUAUAUUCCAAUGUCAUAAUCUAGAGUCUGAAAAUUCAUAUAAAUGAAAUUUCAUAUGGAGAACCAUACAGAUAAAAUGCAAAGGAAACUUGCUCAGUUACAAAACCAAGACGCUCAGCUAGAGGAAUGAUCCCCAACAUUCUCAGAAGAAAACCCAACCCUGAAAAUUCACACAAGGAAAUCAAAAUCAACAGUAAAAGGAAAUGUAAUUUUCACAAGCUUCUUGAACGAACAAACACAUUGGCAACAAAAACAAACAGAAACUCUCAUGAGCACCAGAAGUUUUAACGACAACAAUUGCUACGGGGCCAAAAAUUAUCAAUAUGUUUAGUUUUGUAGAGAAUACAAAAACCUUGAUGAUCUCAAUGGCCCCAUUACAACUCCUGGUCACAUAUGCAUUUUGACCGCUGCUAACAUCUAAACUGCCAUUGGACAACUUAAAUGAAGGUUUCUUAACCGCCAUUGAACCUGGAUUCACUAGGCUCUAGUGUUCCAUCUCAAGCAAUGCUCUGUAUUCCAAUGAUCCCAUCUACAUAACAAAAAAUACCCUUUUGUGAAAAAUCAAGAGACCUUCAAAAUUCAUUGUAAAUGAAAGCAAAGAAAACAAACCUCAACUAUGGAUUGAUUUGAGCUAACAAUGGUUUCUCAUCAAUGUUGCUUCUGCUAUUAUCCAUUUUAUUGUAGACCAAAAGCUCCAUAUUACUCCUCGAUCUUGUACUCCACAGACAUCCCAUGUACAAAUAUAAAACUAAUGUUAAAUUCCCACAUGAAAUAUGCGCCAGAUAUUUAAACCCAUCAAAGUGAUGCAGCUAGGGAAGCUUCCAAGAAAGUGGAAAACUUUUUUACGUUAAAGUAUUUGAGUUAGAAAGUCAAUGGCUGGAUUCUUUUCUCAUAGGUGCCUAAAGGAAGAAAUUUGUUAUUAGGCACUAAUGGUUUGAUGUAGGGCAAUUGAAUUGCAUUGAAAGCAACGAGAAAACAUAAAUGAGAAAAUUAAGGAAUUUAACAAUAGCCAUUCGACUUGUGGCAUUCUCGCCAUCAUUUGAUUUGUGUGUUCAUUUUCUAUGAAUGAAAGGAAAAAAAAAUGAAAAAGAAAAAAAGUUAAAUACCCUUUUCACUCCUUAAGGUGCAAUUUCUCAUUAAUUGCUAAUAAUAAGGAUGAUCCUAACAAAUGAGCUGAACUGUUUUGGCUAUCCACAAUUAGUUGUGAUUCAAGUUGAAAUUCUGAACAAAUUCAAAAUAUCACACUUCAUUGGAAUUCUUCCUUUCUUUGAAGGGAAGGAAGAUUGUUAUAUUAAUCAACAAAAGCAUAUAUAUACAUUACAAAAUUCACACUAAACAAGCCCAAUAAUGUGCAGUUAAUCCUGAUCCUAAAUAUUAAAUUUCCCAAAUUCAUUGACCAUUGUGUCACAGGAACUCGAUUCAGUCUUGGGGCCAAUUUCAAUUUCCCAAAAUAACUCACCAUUGCUUCAUAUGAACCCACCUCAGACUUGACAUUCAUGUAAAACGUCACCAUCGGCGGCGGACUGAUCGUGUACUCCGGGAACAUAAACUGCAACAUACCCAGAACACUCGAAGCGUCAUUUAACGUGGGACUGACACCGUCAACCUCCGCCUUCAUGAUCUCCCAAACCGAAAAUGCCGUGACGUUAUCGAAGCCACCCAACUCUUUGGCCACUUCAAUAAACUUCCGGUGGCUGUUUGGAGUCCAAACGAGCGGCCGCUUCUGCGUCCGUACAUAAGGCGAGUAACGUCUUGUCCUCCGAUCAUGUAGAUAUAAUCUGAUAUUUCCGAGAUGAAAACGAUUGACUCUUCUGUCCCCUCUCAUUGCUCCGCUCAAACCCGAACCCAAACUCUUAAAAAUUGACGCGUGAUCCGCUGUUCUGAUCUCAGUUUGAUCUUAAGCUGAAAAUUGAAUCGAUUCUGUGUCUAUGCGAUGUCGUUUCGGAUGAUCACUAAACUUGCGGUGUAUUUAGAAAGUGAAAAGGGUAAACGUGCACGAAGCCCACGUCAAAUGUAUGCAAGCAAUAUUUGUCCCAGCAGCUGCUAUGUAUAUUAAACGCAGCGUUUUGAUUGUAAUAAAAGUAUAAAACGCGCAGCGCCACUCGGAGAAUCGUAGUAGCGAGGAAAUGAGAACAAAAACGCGCGGUGGCAGUACUGGAGUCCCUAAAUCCGCUUCACCAAGUAGAACUUCAACAAGUCAGUCACUUCGUUUCUUCAAUCACGAACAUGAACUGGUAUUUUCUCUCUGUCUCUUCAUCUUUCUCUGUUCGCUUCUCGAGAGCUUUUCCUUCUGCUUAGUUAACCAUUUCCUUUUUUGAACAAAAUGGCUAACUAAAGAUGCUCGCUUGCAACUGUUCAUGCAAAUGUGGCUUUUUUUUCUUUUAUAAAUGAUUCAAUAUGAUCAUUUUCUUUCCGUGAUUAUUCUCUUUUGUUACCGUUUGCAAAAUGUGUGUGUGUGUGUUUUUCAAAGAUCAGGGGAAGUCUCUAAAAUGAUACAUUGCUUUUUGAAAAUAAAACAUUACUUGAUGAUAUUAUAUGCUAAUUUUAACUUUUAAUUAAGAAACUUUUAAAUGACAACUUCUGAAAAUUUUAGUUGGAUCUUUACAAAGGAUGAAGCAAAUGGAGAAACAUUAAGCAAAAUGAAUGGCGAUGUAGAUAUGGCUUCUGCAUAUAAUGAUGAUGAGAUUGGUAUUCACAUAGAAAAUCAUAGUGGUUUGGGGCGGAGUGGAGAUUUUAUGGAUGUUGAUUUUUUGGAGGAAGAGCCUUGUAUUAAGUGUAAUAGACGUGGUGAGAACCUGUUGGUUUGUAGUCAAUCUGGAUGCCCAAUUUCUGUACAUGAAAACUGCCUGAGCUGUGGAGUUAAAUUUGAUGAUGUGGGAAACUUUUACUGUCCCUAUUGCUGGUAUAAACGUGAAUUGACGAGGACAAAGGAGUUGUGGAAGAAGGCUAUGGAAACAAAGAAACAGUUGGCAUGUUUUAUUGAUUCUAAAAGUUUUAGUGGUGAUAAAAAGAAGGAGAAUUGUAGAACAGAUAAAGGAAAUGAGCUGAAUAUGUCAUCUCUUCAUCAAGAGAGAAAUUACAGUUAUGGUGGUUGUGAGGAUCGAAGGGAUGAUGUUCAAGUUAAGAAUCUAAGUGAGGAAGUGGAGGGAGAGCUAGAGAAUGAUGGGGACAAUACAAAGACAGCUGAUUCCUGUGAUAAAUUUAAGAGGGCACUUGAGAAUCAGAGUAACCUUCUGGCUGUUCAUUCUCAUACUGGGGACAAGAUAAAUCAUGGUCGAGAGAAAACACCUGGGAUUGAAUCACUUGUGAAUUAUACUAGCAAAGAAAGGCCCAAUGAGGAAAAUGUCUGUGAAACUCAUGAGCUUGAACUUUUAGAAGAUGGAAAAGGGAUACCAUUGGAAGAUUUAGGAUGCGAUGAUGACAGUGGACGUGAAGACAAUGUCUGUGAAACUCAUGAGCUUGAACUUUUAGAAGAUGGAAAAGGGAUACCAUUGGAAGAUUUAGGAUGCGAUGAUGACAGUGGACGUGAAGACAAUGUCUGUGAAACUCAUGAGCUUGAACUUUUAGAAGAUGGAAAAGGGAUACCAUUGGAAGAUUUAGGAUGCGAUGAUGACAGUGGACGUGAAGACAAUGUCUGUGAAACUCAUGAGCUUGAACUUUUAGAAGAUGGAAAAGGGAUACCAUUGGAAGAUUUAGGAUGCGAUGAUGACAGUGGACGUGAAGACAAUGUCUGUGAAACUCAUGAGCUUGAACUUUUAGAAGAUGGAAAAGGGAUACCAUUGGAAGAUUUAGGAUGCGAUGAUGACAGUGGACGUGAAGACAAUGUCUGUGAAACUCAUGAGCUUGAACUUUUAGAAGAUGGAAAAGGGAUACCAUUGGAAGAUUUAGGAUGCGAUGAUGACAGUGGACGUGAAGACAAUGUCUGUGAAACUCAUGAGCUUGAACUUUUAGAAGAUGGAAAAGGGAUACCAUUGGAAGAUUUAGGAUGCGAUGAUGACAGUGGACGUGAAGACAAUGUCUGUGAAACUCAUGAGCUUGAACUUUUAGAAGAUGGAAAAGGGAUACCAUUGGAAGAUUUAGGAUGCGAUGAUGACAGUGGACGUGAAGACAAUGUCUGUGAAACUCAUGAGCUUGAACUUUUAGAAGAUGGAAAAGGGAUACCAUUGGAAGAUUUAGGAUGCGAUGAUGACAGUGGACGUGAAGACAAUGUCUGUGAAACUCAUGAGCUUGAACUUUUAGAAGAUGGAAAAGGGAUACCAUUGGAAGAUUUAGGAUGCGAUGAUGACAGUGGACGUGAAGACAAUGUCUGUGAAACUCAUGAGCUUGAACUUUUAGAAGAUGGAAAAGGGAUACCAUUGGAAGAUUUAGGAUGCGAUGAUGACAGUGGACGUGAAGACAAUGUCUGUGAAACUCAUGAGCUUGAACUUUUAGAAGAUGGAAAAGGGAUACCAUUGGAAGAUUUAGGAUGCGAUGAUGACAGUGGACGUGAAGACAAUGUCUGUGAAACUCAUGAGCUUGAACUUUUAGAAGAUGGAAAAGGGAUACCAUUGGAAGAUUUAGGAUGCGAUGAUGACAGUGGACGUGAAGACAAUGUCUGUGAAACUCAUGAGCUUGAACUUUUAGAAGAUGGAAAAGGGAUACCAUUGGAAGAUUUAGGAUGCGAUGAUGACAGUGGACGUGAAGACAAUGUCUGUGAAACUCAUGAGCUUGAACUUUUAGAAGAUGGAAAAGGGAUACCAUUGGAAGAUUUAGGAUGCGAUGAUGACAGUGGACGUGAAGACAAUGUCUGUGAAACUCAUGAGCUUGAACUUUUAGAAGAUGGAAAAGGGAUACCAUUGGAAGAUUUAGGAUGCGAUGAUGACAGUGGACGUGAAGACAAUGUCUGUGAAACUCAUGAGCUUGAACUUUUAGAAGAUGGAAAAGGGAUACCAUUGGAAGAUUUAGGAUGCGAUGAUGACAGUGGACGUGAAGACAAUGUCUGUGAAACUCAUGAGCUUGAACUUUUAGAAGAUGGAAAAGGGAUACCAUUGGAAGAUUUAGGAUGCGAUGAUGACAGUGGACGUGAAGACAAUGUCUGUGAAACUCAUGAGCUUGAACUUUUAGAAGAUGGAGAAGGGAUACCAUUGGAAGAUUUAGGAUGUGUUGAUGGCAGUGGACAUGAGAAGAUUGCUGAAGACCAACUGCAAGAAGAGCCUUACACUGCUUGUUGUGUUGGAGAAGAAUUUGUCGUUGAUAUUUUACUUAAUUUAUGGAAAGGGGAUAUACCUGACACUGAAAAAUUGAAGGAACAAAGGCGAGAAGAAGAAGAGAAUGUAGACCCCACAACAUUGAGAACUGAAAUGUCUGAUUCUGAUAUAGAGCCAACGUCGAUGCGCCUGAGGUGUGUUGCAGGAAGUAGUAAGAAGGCACAAUCUCGGGGUGUUGAUUCACCAAGAAAGUUGCGCUCAUCAAAGGGUGCCAACCCAAAGAAAACAAAAUCUCAGAAUGUUGACUCAUCAAAAAAGUUAUCCCCACCAAAAGGUGCUAAUUCAGAGAAAAUAGCUCAGGCUCGAAAUGAGAAAUCAACUGCCUCCAAAAAGUCUACACAAGUUUCCGGUGGAAAAUUGUGAGUAGCAUGUGCAGUAUAUUAGAAAGUUUAUACUCUCUCAUAGGAUUUCACGUUGGAAAUAUUCCAAUUUGGUUGCAAAAUAGGAGUUAGUUGUGGUAUUUGUAUAUGCUUCUUAUACUGAUUUGGAAUUUAUUGUUCCAUUUCACAUUGCAGCACAAACUUCACAUUUGCUUCUGAAAAACGUAGGAGAUUACAUUGGACAGCUGAAGAAGAAGAAAUGCUGAAGGUAUGGAUUCAUGGUCAUUGCUACUGUUUGCUUUCAACCCAAAUCACUGUGCUUGUGUUUCCAAAUAAUGUCCUUUGGUUUUGACAUCUACUAUAAAUCAUGAUACUGAUUUCACUUAAUGAAAUAUUUGAAUCUGUAUGAGAUUGACAAUUGAUUCAAUUUCAUUUAACGCAUUGUUGAAAUUAUUCUGUCUCUGAAAGGGUUUUCCACCUUUACCUAAUAUUGUUUGAUUCCUUAAAAUCUUUCUUACAUUUCAAUUCGGUAGCUCAUUUCUAGAAUUUAGAAGCUUUUCCUUCACUACUGCUUUAAAAUUGAAUUAUGAGAAUAUAUAUAUAUAUAUGUAUGUAUAGUAGUUUUCUGGUCCGGGAUUUUAAAGUGCGGGAAAGUCCGGGAAACCUUUAAAACCGCACAGUUUUAAAGGCUUACAUUUUUAAGCCUUUUAAACCAUGCGGUUUUAAAGUUUUCCCAGACUUUCCCGCACUUUAAAAUUCCAGACUGUAACAUUUCUAUAUGUAUGUAUGUAUAAUGCAUCUCAUAUUGUACAUUGUUUUCAUGUUUCUAAAUGCAAGUAAGAGUAAGAGCUAAAUUCUAAAAAGCUGAAUUGUUGUUGUGAUUCAAUCUUAAAUAUUCAAGAUGGAUUAGUGAAUUAGAAUCUAUUCAAGAUUUAAUUUGCUAGCUUGUUGAUAUCUACUCUCAUAUUGCAGGAAGGAGUGGAAAAAUUUUCAACUAAAGUAAAUAAAAAUCUUCCUUGGAAGAAAGUUUUGGAAUUUGGUUGUGAUGUUUUUGAUCCUACUCGUACUCCAUCUGAUCUCAAGGAUAAAUGGAGGAACAUUAUGUCCAGAGAGUCCUCAGCAAUCAGCAGAAAGUAAUUUGGUCAUGUAUGACUCGACAUGCAAAAGGUAAUAUUUUAAAAUCCUUAGAAGUUCAAAUAUGUGCUGUGCUUGCAAGUACAUUCAUAAAUACAUCUCACUCUUUCUCUCAGCUGUGUGGAAACUAUUGCUUCUGAAAUAGUUGGGUUGUCUUGGUUGAUCAAAAGAAACUCUAGGAUCUAAAUUUCUAUAAUACAUUCAGCAGGUUUUAUGUUAUAUAAACUUUUUUUGUUUUUCGUGUUAUUUAGACUGCUUCUGCCGUCACUAUUUCUGUAUACAGCAGCUCGUUUACUAAACUGUUUCGUUUACCCUUCUUUGUGGGAUCAAGACCUUAGUUUCCUGUAUAUCAGACUAUUUGUGUGAUUAUUCAAUGCCAUUAGUGUACGUACCCAAGAUUCCUUUCCAUCACCCAGUUGGAUGACUUAAUUAAAGGACCGAUGAUACUUGUUUUAGAAUAUUUUGAACUAAGUGGGUCAGUUAGCAUGACAAUUCAAAUUUUCCAAAUUGCACUCAUAUAGCCGAAUUUUUGAGUUUUAAUACUCACAUAAUAAGCCUUUUUUAUGACAUUUAAAGAUUUUUUUUUAUAUUGUCUCUAAUUGUCAUCAGCUCGUUCUCUCUAAAAUUAUGUGCAAAUUUCUUCUACUGUCGUGCAUAAAUGCUUAGGCAGACCAGCAGUAUUUCGUUUCAUUUUGUAGACAUUUCAGCACUCCUAAAACCAUCAAGGAAAGGGAAAUAAUGUGCAGCAGCAGUUAGAUCUUUUUUCAGUAUUCUUUGAAUUUUUUUGCCAGUGGGCCUAAGGAAUGUAAAUUGCUGUCUUGUAGAUGGCACGUUCUGGGUACUAACAAAGAAAACAGAGCAAUUUUGGUCAGUUGAAUAGUUAACUGAAGCAAAGAUUUGAGUUCACAUUGGAGCUCAGGAAAAUGAAUUUAACAAAAAUAUUUAUGAAAUAAAGUGCUUUUUCUUUUCUUUGACUUGGAUGUUCAAAAUCCAAAUGUUGAUUUUUCUUCUGCUGUACGGCCAAGGCGGAUGUACGGUACAGCAGCAUUCCUUUGCCUUCCAGCUGCUUCAUAUAUCACAGGGCAGAUUAUUUGUGUCGAUGGAGGGGUGACUGUGACUGUGAAUGUGAAUGGAUUGCGCUCAACUGGAAAUUAGACAAAUCCUCUUUGUUCUAGCCGGUAUUUCCAGUCAGUCAAGGUUUCUUUUUUCUUUUCUUUUCUUUUCUUUUUUUUAGAGUGCCAGAAGCUGUACUGAAAUCUUUCUUGUAUAAUAAAGUUGUGUCUUUUAAUCAUGAUAGUUUUAAUUAUGAAGCCAAUGCAGCGUACAAUUUCAUCUUCCAAAAACCCAAUUAGUCAAGUCACCAAAGAAAUAUUAUUUUGUAUUAAAUGGCUAUUCAAAGUUUGAAAAGGGUAACAGGUUGAAUUUAC